AUUGAACGCUGGCGGCAGGCCUAACACAUGCAAGUCGAGCGGAUGAAGGGAGCUUGCUCCUGGAUUCAGCGGCGGACGGGUGAGUAAUGCCUAGGAAUCUGCCUGGUAGUGGGGGAUAACGUCCGUAAACGGGCGCUAAUACCGCAUACGUCCUGAGGGAGAAAGUGGGGGUUCUUCGGACCUCACGCUAUCAGAUGAGCCUAGGUCGGAUUAGCUAGUUGGUGGGGUAAAGGCCUACCAAGGCGACGAUCCGUAACUGGUCUGAGAGGAUGAUCAGUCACACUGGAACUGAGACACGGUCCAGACUCCUACGGGAGGCAGCAGUGGGGAAUAUUGGACAAUGGGCGAAAGCCUGAUCCAGCCAUGCCGCGUGUGUGAAGAAGGUCUUCGGAUUGUAAAGCACUUUAAGUUGGGAGGAAGGGCAGUAAGUUAAUACCUUGCUGUUUUGACGUUACCAACAGAAUAAGCACCGGCUAACUUCGUG
Molecule: ribosomal RNA, 484 nt
Filed under: uncultured bacterium
Lineage: Bacteria
Description: partial 16S ribosomal RNA
Rfam family: Bacterial small subunit ribosomal RNA
Source: RNAcentral